RNAcentral lists this ribosomal RNA (134 nucleotides) under Althepus flabellaris. RNAcentral's name for it is "partial 16S ribosomal RNA". The record is from RNAcentral. Lineage: Eukaryota; Metazoa; Arthropoda; Arachnida; Araneae; Ochyroceratidae.
AACGAGUAUAAAACUUUAUCUAACUUACUAUACAAAAUUUAUAUAAUAGUAAAAAAGCUUUUAUUCAAUGAUUAGACGACAAGACCCUUUAGAACUUUACUAAAAGUUAAACUGGGGAGGUAAACUAAAAAACC